RNAcentral lists this ribosomal RNA (301 nucleotides) under uncultured bacterium. Its description in RNAcentral is "partial 16S ribosomal RNA". It matches the Rfam family "Bacterial small subunit ribosomal RNA", at positions 509 to 809 of the family's 1533-position model. The record is from RNAcentral.
CAGCCGCCACGGUAAAACGUAGGGUGCAAGCGUUAAUCGGAAUUACUGGGCGUAAAGCGUGCGCAGGCGGUUUGUUAAGACAGAUGUGAAAUCCCCGGGCUCAACCUGGGAACUGCAUUUGUGACUGGCAGGCUAGAGUAUGGCAGAGGGGGGUGGAAUUCCGCGUGUAGCAGUGAAAUGCGUAGAUAUGCGGAGGAACACCGAUGGCGAAGGCAGCCCCCUGGGCCAAUACUGACGCUCAUGCACGAAAGCGUGGGGAGCAAACAGGAUUAGAUACCCCUGUAGUCCCUGUCUCUUAUAA